GAAGCAUUUAGUGCAUGUCUUUCUUCUCCAAAACUUCUCCUGGUCCUCAUGAAUCAACAAACGCAAAACAAGUCCAGAAAAUAUCAAUUUGUCACUAGAAUAAGCAAUGCUUAUGUUUGAUUUGAUCGACAACCUACCUUCAAAAAAGAAAAAGAAAAAAAAGGCUACAAGGAUGAUUUUGAUUGAGUUUCCCAAAGCCAAGAAACAAUGUACCAAA
This 217-nucleotide long non-coding RNA is filed under the name Musa acuminata (dwarf banana). Its description in RNAcentral is "long non-coding RNA (MACU_LNC005734)". Lineage: Eukaryota; Viridiplantae; Streptophyta; Magnoliopsida; Zingiberales; Musaceae. The record is from RNAcentral.